RNAcentral lists this long non-coding RNA (299 nucleotides) under Linum usitatissimum (flax). RNAcentral describes it as "long non-coding RNA (LUSI_LNC000918)". The record is from RNAcentral. Lineage: Eukaryota; Viridiplantae; Streptophyta; Magnoliopsida; Malpighiales; Linaceae.
AACAUGAAUAAAAGUAAUUCAUUCUCUCAAUCUUCAAUUUUUACUAAUUCACAUUCUGUCUGCACGGAAAGCAUUGAUUCAGCUACUGACAUUCAUAUUUUCAUAGAAGGUAAAUGAACUCACAAGUUGCUAACAAAAGGCAAUAUUUCACCACAUAUUCAAAAAGGUAUGCCAUGAAUAUAGAAUUUUUUUAACAAAUUGAUAAAUCAAACUGGCAAGGGAUUUCUAUGGGAUAAUCAAGUUUGAUCAAUCAACAGGAUUAAGAGCUAGGACUUUCACCUGCUUAUAAGCCCUGAAGG